This is a long non-coding RNA of Amphiprion ocellaris (clown anemonefish), 2892 nucleotides long. The record is from Ensembl. NCBI's taxonomy places the organism in Eukaryota, Metazoa, Chordata, Actinopteri, Pomacentridae.
CAAGUGCAGAGACAUGGAGAAAUUACAGCUGUGGAAUUUGCACGAAUCACAUGAAACCAGCAUGAGAGUCAGCACCUCCAAGUCUGAGGUGCCUCUGUGUGGGAUGAGUAUUUUAGGAUCUUGCCUGUGUAGAUUCUCAGUAAUCCAGGCCAUGGUAAUCCCAGGAGCUUUCGUAGAAAGCAACUGGACUCCUCUUCAGUUUCUUCAAAGAACCUAAAAGAGCAUCCUUCCAGGAUCUUCAAGUUCCACAACCAGGCAGGCUUUGAGAAAAUUGCCCAGAAAAUUCAUUACUAUGGACUUCUCUCUUAGGUUCUUGAAAGAACCUAAAACCUACUGAAGCUCCUAGGAUUUGGGGAUGUUGUUCAAGAAAAUGGAGCGUGAAAUAGACAGACAGAUUGGUGAAGCAUCAGCAGUGAUGCAGCCGUUGUGCCAGGCUGUGGUGAAGAUGGAGCUGAACCGGGAGGCACAGCUCUCCAUUUACCCGUCGGUCGGUGUUCCUCUUCUUUCAAAACCUGAACAGCAAAUUAGCACGUUAGCAGUACUUUUCUAUUUAUGCCUCAGACAAACUAGAGCAGGGGUAGCCAACACGGUGCCCGCAGGCGCCUGGUUGCCUGCAGAGACCACGUGAGUGACACAUGUUCUAAAAAUAACACUAGUCACCAUGAAAUUCUUUAUAAAAAAAUAUAGUUGCUGUUCUUUUUGAAUCGAAAAUACUUAUAUUAAUGCAGAUUUUAAAUUACAAUAUUUAUUAUAUAUUUUUUUAAAAACAAAAAUGUCUUUGGUGUAAAUGAACUUUCACCUUGUCCGAGUCAGAGUUCACUGCGCAUGUCAAACCACCACGUCACUCUGCUGAAGCUUCCGGACGCAGCCACUUUGGGAAGCUAGAUGUGGUUUUUACCCCCAAAACAUGACAGAGAAGUGAAAGAGAAAACACUAUUUUCACGAUGACUGGGAGGAAGAGUUAUUUUUCACGACAGUGAAAGACAAAUGUAUGUGUCCUAUUUGCGGGGCGACUAUUGCGUCCGCCAAGCGGCACAAUGUGGAGAGACGCUACUUUAGCCACCACAAAGCUUCCAUGCUAACUAGCCAUGCUAACUAGCCACCUGGUAGCGCACAUAGACUGUUUGCGCACUAUGGACAGGAAAAUCCCGUUACUUAAAGGCAGCUUUGACAUCUACUACGCGGCGAAAAGUUUCUUCGUGGAGAAAAAUGUACCAUCAGAAAGGCUUGUUUUACUGACGACAGACGGGGCUCCUCCAUGACGGGUCGGCAUGCAGGCUUCAUUGUACUAUGCAGAGGUGAUCCAGACUUCCCAACAUCCCUACAUUACCACUGCAGCAUUCACCAGCAGGACAUAUGUAUGUACAAAAAUGACUGGAUUUGAUCAUGUGAUGACUCCUGUCGUGAAGAUCAUAAAUGGCUCCAAAGCCAAACAACCAGGACAUUGAAGGUGCUGCUGGAGGAGCUGUUAGCUGAACAUGGUGACCUGUUAUUACACACAGAAACCCCAUGGAUCAGCAGGGGACCAGUUUUGCAGCGUUUUUUGUCACUGUUGGCCGAAAUCAAAGAGUUGAUGCAAUCCAAAGGGGAAGACACCUCGCUGUUUGAGGACACUGAGUGGAUUCUUGUCCUUGCAUUUUUAACGGACAUCACUGAGAAACUGAACCAUCUGAACUGUGAGCUGCAAAGUAAAGAUGUUCAGAGGGAGAUGAUGUCACAUCUGGUCCAGCUGAUGGAAGGUCUUGAAGUUCUCUGCAUGGCCUCGACUGAAGAUGGUCGUCUCACUGGAUUUAAGGUUCAGAUGCUCAGUAAUAAACUCCACCAAUGAGCCAACAGGGAAGCUUUAGGUUUAUUAAAUGUUGCUAUGAAGGUUUUGCUGUGUUUCUUUGUGAAUGCGAUGUGCUCCAACUGAAACUUGAAUUAGAACUUAGAAGUAAAUCCUUCCAUCUGAAAGGAUUUAGUUGCAUUAAUAACCUCAUAACAUUCUAAUUUUUAUUCCAGUCUUGGUUGGAAAUAGAAUCUCUGUAUUGAUUCAGGUAAAAACUGAACUUCACAGCAUGUUGCAGCAAAACAACCAGAUGAAAACUGUGAUGGUGUUGGAUUGUCAGACCGUAAUGUUGCAGCUCAAAGCAGCUUUUCUAUCUCAGUUCAUUCUGACAUUCAGCUAUGAAUCAACACAGCAGAUGGUGAUCCAUGCUGUGGAAGUCUCACAUCUCCUGAUUUAAUGGAGCUGCUUUGCACUUUUUACACUGUUUAUUCACCAACACUUUAUUUAAUAAAAGUCCCAUCUAGUUUUUAUGAGGAAUGUGAUGUUUUAAUUUCUCUGUGAAUAACUGCAGUCUUAUGUAACAGCUGGAGUUGUAACAUCUGUCCUGAUAUUGAUCAUGAAGUAUUGAUCAGAAUAAUUAUGGUCAGCAGUCAUCCCUGAAGUUUUACAUUCAAAUCUUUACUUGUGUUGUGAACUUUGGUAAGAAGCAGAAACGUUAGCGUUGCCAUGGAUACAUGAGUGUUAAAUUCUGUCCAUGUUUCCAUUUUGGGAAAUUCAGUCCAGUUCCAGAAUGUGGAGGAAUUUAGUCUCACAAUCACAGACAACAAAUAUUAUCUGAAAGUCGGUUUAUUAUUGUUGUUUAUCAGCACAAUACAAAAAGAUUAAUGUUAGAAAUAUUCCAGUUAAGACUCUGGAAUAUCAUGAUUUAUGUAAAUUUACCUCAAUAAUAUGAAUGUUCAGGUUAAGAUUGUACAGUGAUAUUUAUUAUGCAAGUUUAGCUGAUUAAAGUUUAUGAUUCUGCACUAAAAUAUUAUUUAAAUUGACAUCAUUAUUAUAAUAUUUAGGGUCAGACCCUACAGUAUUGAGAUUAAGAAAUCAAAUAUUCUAUAAAAUGUAAAUACACU